Molecule: small RNA, 125 nt
Filed under: Marmota monax (woodchuck)
Lineage: Eukaryota; Metazoa; Chordata; Mammalia; Rodentia; Sciuridae
Source: RNAcentral
GCCUGGUGUGGUGGUACAUGCCUGUAAUCCCAGCAGCUUGGGAGGCUGAGGCAGGAGAAUCAUGAGUUCAAAGCCAGCCUCACCAAAAGUGAGGCUCUAAGUAACUUAGUGAGAGUCUGUCUCUA